This 254-nucleotide ribosomal RNA is filed under the name uncultured bacterium. RNAcentral's name for it is "partial 16S ribosomal RNA". It matches the Rfam family "Bacterial small subunit ribosomal RNA", at positions 524 to 776 of the family's 1533-position model. The record is from RNAcentral.
UACGUAGGGUGCAAGCGUUGUCCGGAAUUAUUGGGCGUAAAGAGCUCGUAGGCGGUUUGUCGCGUCUGCUGUGAAAACGCGGGGCUCAACUCCGCGCCUGCAGUGGGUACGGGCAGACUAGAGUGCAGUAGGGGAGACUGGAAUUCCUGGUGUAGCGGUGGAAUGCGCAGAUAUCAGGAGGAACACCGGUGGCGAAGGCGCACACCUGGCCCGAUACUGACGCUGGAGGCGCGAAAGCUAGGGGAGCAAACGGG